CCAAUAGCGUAUAUUAAAGUUGUUGCAGUUAAAAAGCUCGUAGUUGAAUUUCGGGAUUGACACAUCGGUCGUGCCCUAAGGGGUAUGAACUGGUGUAGUCAAUUUCUCACCUUCUGGAGAACCGCGCUGUCCUUAAUUGGGUGAUGCGGGGAACCAGGACCUUUACUUUGAAAAAAUUAGAGUGUUUAAAGCAGGCAUUU
Molecule: ribosomal RNA, 200 nt
Filed under: uncultured Entrophospora
Lineage: Eukaryota; Fungi; Glomeromycota; Glomeromycetes; Entrophosporales; Entrophosporaceae
Description: uncultured Claroideoglomus partial small subunit ribosomal RNA
Rfam family: Eukaryotic small subunit ribosomal RNA
Source: RNAcentral